CCGCUUUAGCUGAACUUAAGUGGAACGACGUAGUUGUGAGGCUAAAGCUGAUGCACUGGGAAUAGCUGGCAUUCGUGAUUCAUUUGAGCAUUCAUUUGGGGCAGAAUAGCACUCUUGUGCUAAGGUUCCGUUUUGAGAAAACAAGUGAAGAGAGGAGCUCUUGUCGCUGCUCAGAAUAGCUAAUCCACUGUACGUGCGGAGCUUGAACCAGCAUGAAUAUAGAAGUUGAUCGGAUGGUUGAGAAGACUGAGGCGGUUGUGAUUCAGAAAAAGUUAGUUGAAGAUGCUUUGCAAAGCUUCCGGAGUUGAUUGCUUAAUCUAUUUGGUAGUGUGAAUGAGAAUCUGCAAUAUUCAGUCUCUAUAUUAGAGUUUGCAAGACCCCAAAGUAGGCUUGUUUAACCAAGA
Molecule: small RNA, 404 nt
Filed under: Vigna angularis var. angularis
Lineage: Eukaryota; Viridiplantae; Streptophyta; Magnoliopsida; Fabales; Fabaceae
Description: Non-protein coding transcript
Source: RNAcentral